Non-coding RNA from Picea glauca (white spruce), 119 nucleotides. NCBI's taxonomy places the organism in Eukaryota, Viridiplantae, Streptophyta, Pinopsida, Pinales, Pinaceae. The record is from Rfam.
AGGUAUAAUCAUGAUAGUGUUAAUACAUUAGAUCCCAUCACAACUUUGUGGCUAAAUGUGCUUAGUCUAGACUAGUAUUUGAAUGGGUGACCUCUAGGGAGUUCUCAAUGUUGAAUCCU